Molecule: ribosomal RNA, 253 nt
Filed under: uncultured bacterium
Lineage: Bacteria
Description: partial 16S ribosomal RNA
Rfam family: Bacterial small subunit ribosomal RNA
Source: RNAcentral
UACAGAGGUCUCAAGCGUUGUUCGGAUUCAUUGGGCGUAAAGGGUGCGUAGGUGGUGCCGUAAGUCAGGUGUGAAAUCUCGGGGCUCAACCCCGAAACUGCACUUGAUACUGCGGUGCUCGAGGACUGGAGAGGAGAUUGGAAUUCAUGGUGUAGCAGUGAAAUGCGUAGAUAUCAUGAGGAAGACCAGUGGCGAAGGCGGAUCUCUGGACAGUUCCUGACACUGAGGCACGAAGGCCAGGGGAGCAAACGGG